Molecule: unclassified non-coding RNA, 536 nt
Filed under: Bombus terrestris (buff-tailed bumblebee)
Lineage: Eukaryota; Metazoa; Arthropoda; Insecta; Hymenoptera; Apidae
Description: misc RNA ENSBTSG00005021823.1
Source: RNAcentral
GGCCUAUUACCGAUACACCUUGUGAAAGAGUAACGCGACAGGAAAAGGGAACUGGCUGAGUCGCCAUCGCGUGGGUGUUAUCGACGAUCAAUAAAUUCGGCAACGUGAUUCACCGCAAUGGUAUUGCACAGAAGCGUGAAAGAGGAAGAAAGUUGGCCACGUUGUUAAACGCAAUUCGGCUAUCAAACGGAGAAGUUGGCAUGAGAAAGCGCAAAGCCGCGCCACCACAACCUGGUAAUGAAGUUGGCAAGUAGAGAUACCAAGUCGACGUUUCCAAUACCGCAGAACUCCGCCUUUUCUACGUUUUAAAUCGACGAUGCUAAAACCAUAGGAAAAUUGUUUUAGGAACGAUGGAAAUUUCGCGCGGAACGACACUACGAUCGUAGUGUUCGUUGAAUUUUUCCUACAGACGCGUUAACUCUAAGUCUACGCUUCAAGCCGUAUCCGCGCUUAAAAGAAACGAAUCUUUUACUAUGUACAUAUACUAUGGCUCACGAAAUUGUUUGAAUACUUAUCAUAGUAAACUUUUAUAUAUU